UACGUAGGGGGCCAGCGUUGUCCGGAUUUAUUGGGCGUAAAGCGCGCGCAGGCGGUUCGUUAUGUCCGAUGUGAAAGCCCCGAGCUCAACUUGGGAAUGGCAUUGGAAACUGGCGGGCUGGAGUGUGGCAGAGGGGGGUGGAAUUCCACGUGUAGCAGUGAAAUGCGUAGAGAUGUGGAGGAACACCGAUGGCGAAGGCAGCCCCCUGGGCCAACACUGACGCUCAGGCACGAAAGCGUGGGGAGCAAACAGG
This 253-nucleotide ribosomal RNA is filed under the name uncultured bacterium. Its description in RNAcentral is "partial 16S ribosomal RNA". It matches the Rfam family "Bacterial small subunit ribosomal RNA", at positions 524 to 776 of the family's 1533-position model. The record is from RNAcentral.